CGACCCGGAGACUGAAGAACGCAGAUGUGCAUUUUAGCAAUACCUCUCGUCAGUGUCCGAGUUGUAAUCUCGAGAAGUGUCUCAAUCUUCUGCCAUCGAGAAGUCUUACGAAUUGCCAGAUGGUCAAGUUAUCACUAUCGGUAACGAGAGAUUCAGAGCUGCUGAGGCUUUGUUCCGCCCAACUGACUUGGGAUUGGAGGCCGUGGGUAUUGACCAAACUACUUACAACUCUAUCAUCAAGUGUGACGUCGAUGUCAGAAAGGAGUUGUACGGUAACAUUGUUAUGUCCGGUGGUACUACUUUGUUCCCAGGUAUUGCUGAGCGUAUGCAAAAGGAAAUCACUGCCUUGGCUCCUUCUUCGAUGAAGGUGAAGAUCAUUGCUCCACCAGAGAGAAAGUACUCUGUCUGGAUCGGUGGAUCUAUCUUGGCCUCCUUGUCUACUUUCCAGCAA
This 451-nucleotide ribosomal RNA is filed under the name Metschnikowia viticola. RNAcentral's name for it is "partial large subunit ribosomal RNA". Lineage: Eukaryota; Fungi; Ascomycota; Pichiomycetes; Serinales; Metschnikowiaceae. The record is from RNAcentral.